GAAGUUACAGCUCAGUGGUAGUGUGCGUGCUUAGCAUGCACAAAGUCCUGGGUUCAAUCCCUAGUACCUCCA
Molecule: transfer RNA, 72 nt
Filed under: Camelus bactrianus (Bactrian camel)
Lineage: Eukaryota; Metazoa; Chordata; Mammalia; Artiodactyla; Camelidae
Also listed under: 2 other names
Rfam family: tRNA
About the family: Transfer RNA (tRNA) molecules are approximately 80 nucleotides in length. Their secondary structure includes four short double-helical elements and three loops (D, anti-codon, and T loops). Further hydrogen bonds mediate the characteristic L-shaped molecular structure. tRNAs have two regions of fundamental functional importance: the anti-codon, which is responsible for specific mRNA codon recognition, and the 3' end, to which the tRNAs corresponding amino acid is attached (by aminoacyl-tRNA synthetases). tRNAs cope with the degeneracy of the genetic code in two manners: having more than one tRNA (with a specific anti-codon) for a particular amino acid; and 'wobble' base-pairing, i.e. permitting non-standard base-pairing at the 3rd anti-codon position.
Source: Rfam by way of RNAcentral